This 13039-nucleotide small RNA is filed under the name Pyricularia oryzae. Its description in RNAcentral is "Magnaporthe oryzae sRNA M_BR32_EuGene_00000001". The record is from RNAcentral. Lineage: Eukaryota; Fungi; Ascomycota; Sordariomycetes; Magnaporthales; Pyriculariaceae.
UAUAUAUAUUUAACCGCAUUUAAUAUAAUUUAUUUUGGAACUUUAAACCCGUUUGUAAAUAUAUAUGUUGUGAACGUUCUUUUCUAUUUAUUUUAUUUAAACAAAUAUAUUUAUCUAGCUGCGCUUAUAUAAUUGAACAGACUUCCGUACAAUACUAAUUUAAUCCUAGGAAAAUAUAGUAAAAAAUUCUUAUACGCGUUACAAAAUUGUUUAAAUAAAAAAGCGCGUCAAAUUAGGUAAGUAGGUGUUAUAUUCUUAACAAAACGCGGAAAUAAAACCGAUGCUAAUAAUUUAGCUGGUUUCAGCCCGGUUUAAGCGUAAUGUGGCGGAAUGUUUUAUUAAAGGUCUGAGUGCACGCCGUUGGGGCUUAUUGCGGUGGUUUAGUGCGCGACAAUAUAUAUUUUUUAAAAUUUCAAAUAAAUUACUAAUUACCGUUUUUUAGUUGUUUCGAAACCCCAUUUUUAAUUUAUAUAUCGCAUUAUCUAUUAUAAACAAAUUUUAUAUAUUUUUGCGGUAAUAACCUCUCAGGGAAUUAUUUCCAUUAUUAUAUAUUAUCCGCGCAUUAUUACCGCUUAUUAUAUUUAUAUUUAAAUAUACCGCAACUUUCACAGCGGAAGCCGAACGUAACGUCCUUUAUUACUUUUAUUAUAUAAAACCAAUAGGCUUUUUCCACACGGUUUUUAAUCGGCCCGAUAUUAACAUUAUAAUAUAAUAUUUGGACAGCAAAAUAUUUAAAAUAAUUACCGCCGGUUUUUCUGUUCGUCGCGGAUAAUACGUUAUCCAACGUUUUCCAUAUUCCGAAAACUAUUAUUUAUAUUAACGCCAAAAACCGCAUUAUUUAUAAACGUUAACUUUUUAUAAAAAACUUUAUAUCCAAAAACUUCAACCAAUAUAAUAUUAUUAAUAUUAUUAUACGAUUUAUUUUUUUUACCUUUAAAAUUAAUAAAAUUAAAAUUUAUAAAGAAUUUUUAAAACCGGAUUUUGAAAUUUGUUUUAUAUUUGCGAUUUUGUUUUUGGAAAUAGAAAAGAAAAUAUCCGACGUUAAACGAAUAAUAUAAUUUGAAACGUUAAUAUUCAAUAUAAAUAAACCUGCAAAUUUGUAGCAAAGAUACGGAAAAAAACCACACGCGGACUUAAUUUUAAAAAAAUCUAUUUCUUUUGCGUUUGAUUGAUAUUCUGAUAUUUGAAAUUCGGAAACCAAAUAUAUAUUUAUUUUAAUUGAAAUUCAAAACCAAAUUCAAUAAAAAAUCCGCGGUGAUAAACAAAAGUAAUAAUAAUUUACAAAUUACCCAAUUGAAUUUUUUUACGUCUUUAUUAACGCGGUUAUUUCCUAUUAACGUCCCAAGCCUAUUUCAACUAAAUCUAAAUAAUAAUCUUUUGGUUAAAACGGCGAAACCCAAUUAAACCGGCCUUUUUAAUAUAUUUAAAUUAUUUAUUCCGCCCCAUUGGACGAUACGAGAAAAAUUAAAUAAAAACAACUAUAAAAACAAAUACCAAAUAUAUAUAUGUUUGCCAACGUGAAAUAUUUUCGGCGCGCUAUUUUAAAUUUUAUAUGGGAACGGGAUCCACCCAUUAUAAUCAGCCACCCUUAUACUUGCUGUAGCGUUUAUUAUAAUAAAAUUGGUAUUAUGUUUAUUUUACCCCCCAAAAAAUAAUUAUAAAAACGCCGAAAAAAUAACCCAACGUUUUGUUAUUUUCGAAUAAUUAAGUAAAUGGGAGAUUUAUUUUGCAAUAAUUAUAUUUUUCCCAAAUUUGCACCGGUUGUAUAAAUUAUUUUCCCAAAUAAUAUUACCCCAACCAAUAAUUAUAAACUUCGCCAAAACGUUCGUCCGUUUUUAUAACCGGGGGUGGACGAGAGAUAAUUUAUUAAAAUAUUUCCCUGUUGUACAAUUGUAUAUAUAAUUCGCCCAAUAUAAUGUUUUUUUAAUAACAUUUCCGAGAAUUUACGAAUACGGAUUAAAAAAUUAUAAUUCCUAUAUCCAAUGAAAACGGGAGGAAAAACGCUGAAAUAUAAAUAUGGACGCAUUUUUGCAAUUAGAAAACCAACCAUACAUUUAAAACAAAGGACGGCGGAGCAAACAAUUGCGGACAAAAUAAUAGGUAUUAUAACCACGAACGAGUUCGUAAAUAAUAAAAGGUAAACAACCGACCCACCACAUUAGGCGUAAUUAUAUAAAAAUACGGGCGCGUUAAGUUUGCUUUUAACCCCUCCCCCUUUUACAUAUUUUGUAUUAUUAAAAUAUAUGCGUAUAAUAUAACGCGUUGCGAGAAAUAUCCCCCUGGUUUGUGCCGGGGUUGGUAUUAUAGAUAUACGUAAAUAAAUAUUAAUAUAUAAUUAUUAUUUUAUUUUCACGAAAACCCACUAUAACCGAGUAAUAAUAAUACAAUUCAAGGAAAAUUAACCACGUAUACCCUAUUUAUUUGCGUAAUUUUAUUAUACAAUUGUAAAAAAGAAAUUAAAAUAAAUUUAUAUUAUAUGGCAGAUUAAAUAUACGCGCCUUUAACCUUCGAAAUAUAUUAAUAGGCCACGUGCGCUAUUACGUGGUAUUUCAAAACUAUAAUUAGCAAUUACAAAUUUGGAGCAACGGAAGGGUUUCAUACGGCCGAGCUAUUUUUAAUCGCACCCGUUAUAAAAAAUCGGGUAAUAAAAAUUGCAACGGCGAUAAAUCGUACCCCGAAAUAAUAUUGGCACGUAUUUCUUUUUAUAAAUUCUUUAGCGGUUGCCGUAAAUUUUAUCGGUUAAUUAUAUUGGAAGAAUUAAGUUUGAACAAUUGUAACCAAAAUUUAAUAUAAUCUUUUGCACGCAAAUUAGUCCGAAUUAUAUAUAUAUAUAUAUAUAUAUAUAUAUCCCGUCAGAUUUAAUAAUUAAAUCGGCCAAUUAAGCCGGCCAAAAUAAUUGCGGUUAUUACCAAAUCCAUAUACGGACCACAAUUACAAUUUAAAAAUAUAAACUCAAUUACGUUUAAUUUACAAUAUCGAAUUAGCUUUAAUAUAAUUAAAACGUUUUGUUAUUAUAUAUUGUAGUAAUAAUUACGUUAACAGUUAAUUUCACCCACCCUCCCACCGAUCCCAUUAUUUAAACUGCAUAUCGCCCUAUAUUAUAACCCAUUUAUAAAUAUUUCCUUUUUUCCCUCGACGAUUUAUUUUCCUGUUCAAUUACCAAUUUUUUACCAAUUAUUAUUCCAAUAUAUAACCGUUGCGUGGAAAUUGUAACGAUUAAACUAAUAUUUAAUUUAAUUAUUUAACGUAACAAUAAUUACGAUUUAAAAAUUAUAUUAUAUUCGUUUAAUUAUAAUUAUUAAAUAUUAAAUACAAUAUUAUUUAAUUGGACAAAAUUAUUUAACUUUACCCACCCAACCAGGGAUUUAUCCAAUUUGUGGGAAAAGUAAGUCUUUGUUAAGGUAUGCGCGAUAUGAUUAUACCUCAAAUUUGGUUAAAUACGAGCAAUUAACCCAAUUUAAUUAUAUUAAUAAUUGUAAUUUUUGCAUUUUCCCCAGAUUGUAAUUUAUUUCUACAAUUGCAAUCGCAAACCGUGAUAUUUGGGAAACAAAAUAAAAAAAGACCAAAAAGAAUUGUUAUAUCGUUAUAUUUUAUUUGGAAUAUAUACCUUUUAACGCGGAAUUCCCCGCCAAUUUUAGAAAUAUACCGCAAAAAGUUACUCGCACUAAAAUAUUUGAAUAUUUUAAUAAUAAUUUAAAAAGAUCAGACCCGGUCCGUUUAACAAAAACUUUUUACCAAUUACAAAUAAACCGUUAAUUAUUAUAAAAUUACGCAAACGCGACAAAUAUAAUUUUUAAUUUGCCUUUUAUCCCCGCAUUUGGCAAAAAUAAUAUAAUAGGAAAAGUUUAUAACAAAAACGCCGAAAGAAUAUUAUUGUUACUAUUUUAAUACAAAGUCCGGCCAAAAUAAUACUUUUAAUAAUAUAAUUAAUAAAGAUUCCAGCCGCGAUAAUAAUAAUAAUAUUAUGAAUAAUAUAUAUUACAAAUUUUCGCCGCUCCCACCGCAGUUACCAAUAUUUAUUAUAAUUUUCGCCGUUCAGCCCGCCAAAAUUAGGGUUAUAAAAAUUGCCAAACCAAAUCCCACAUUUAAUAUAAUGUUUAACGACGGACUGAUAAGUUACAUUUAAUUUAAAUAUUAUUUUCCAUCGUAUGAAGAUAUAAAUUUAUUAGACCGUUUACCCGCCCUGUUUUAAAAACAAUUUGAAUGGGUAAAAAUAAGAUUCCAAUAUAAAUAAUAGCCAAAAUUCAAUAUAGGGUAAACAAUAUAAAUAUUACCGAAAUAAAUUGCAUUUUUCCCCAUUUGGGUUACGUAAAUUAUUUUAAUGUUAAUAAUAACGGUGUAUCCCCCGUAUAAUUUAGAAUUGGACAUAAUACGUUUUGUUAUACGGAUAUAUUAAUUAUUGCCCAAAUAUCCGAGCGUAUUCACUUAUUAAUCGGGGUCGCCGCGGCGAAAAUACAAAUUAAGGGCCAGAUUUUGAUUUAUUCUUCCAAUAAUAGUUUAUUUAAUACCAGCAAGAUUAUAAUUAUUUCGAUUACAAGUUAAUUAGUACCCUGAAAUAAUAUAUUAAUAUUUUAACUAAACGUUUUUCCCAUCUCUUUAUAAAUUAUUAUAAUUAUUGAAAUUUCCAGUAACUGUCAAACAUUUUCCGAUUUACUAUUAUAGCUAUUAUAACUAUUAUAAUUAUUGUAAUUAUUAUAAUUAAUAUAAUUAAUAUAAUUGGGGUUUUUAUAAUAUUCUUUUAAUUUCUAAUAAUCGAUAACAUUUCUUUAAUUAAUUUAUUUAAUCGCGGACGUAGUCAGGUUUUUGGCUUAUUUUAAAACCGGUGAUUCCGGCAAACUACUUACGGGUAAUAAAAUACCCGUUUGGUGAAAAACUUGGGUUUUCAUACCUAAUAUAUUCCAAACUAAAAAUAUUAUAUUAAUUUUUUAAAAUUUGGCCACCCGACGUUAAUUACUUAUUAUCCAGUUUUCUAUCUGCCAAAUUUAUAUAAAUUUCCCUGGUUUAACAAUUUCUACCGAUAAACUUGAAUUUAUUAUUAUUUCCACUAUUUUUACUAUUAUAUUAUUUUAUUUGGAAAAUAAUAACCAGCCCUAAUUUUUAAUAUAAAAAUUUAAAGUUUAAGCCGGCCCAUCCGGGAUCUUAUAUAUACGGCCGCUUUUAUAUUAAUAAUUAAUUUCGGGCUUGCUAUUACUUUUUUAUCUCGUAUUUCGUCGAACCGGUAAAAUUAUCGACGGUAAUAAAAAGAAUUCUAAUAUAUUUGGGGACGGUUUCCGGAAUCUUCUAAAAUUUAACGUUAAUUAAUUAUUUACGUUAUUUAUAAACGCCGACCAUUUAAUAAUCGUCGAUAACGCUAUUGUUUUAUAUUAUUUGCAUUUAAUAAAAUUUUAAUAACGUUUAGAAAAUUUAUUGGCUGGUUAAUUAAGUUGUUAACAUUAUAAGUUUAUUAAUUUGAAUCGAAUAUAUUAUUAUAAAAUAAUAAUAAUAUUUAUUAUAAAUAUUUGGUUAGGUUUCGAACCGAUGAAGGUCGGACGGUUAAAAAAAACGUGCUAACAAAAUUUAAAUAUACCCGUUAAAUUUGCUAAUAUUGCAAAAUGUAAUUAAGAAUUUAUACGACGAAAACGUCUUUUUUGUUUUAUUAUUACUAAAUCCAAAACUAAUACUAGUUAUUUUAUUUAAAAUAUUUCGGAAAUAAUUCGCAAACCGAACUUUUCAAUUUUAUAUAAGUCCAAUUAAUAAUCGGGGAUUAUUUGGGCGAAAAAAACCGUCGCGACGAAAGGUUUUCCUAAAAAACUUCAAAACAAGUUUUUGAAAUUUUAUUAAUUUAUUAAGUAUAAUUUUCCAUUGUAAUUACAAUGUUUUUCUUGACUUGGUCGUAUUUUAAUUUGGACGCUAUUUGUACCGUUAUAUGUUAAUUACAUCUUCAUAACGACCGCUUUUCUGUCAACGAUUUAAAAUUCGACGGCAAAAUUGGUUUCAUUAUCCAAAAAUCAAAAAUAAAUAGUUUUGGUAAAGUUAGAAUAUUCCCGAUAUUUUUCCCGGUUAUAAUUAAUUUUUUUAUUAUUUUAUUAAUAAAUAUUAGUUGUAUAAUUUUUGUUAAUUAUAAUUAUUAUUGUAAUUUUUGUUAGUUUUUAUUUUGGUUUUGCAUUUUUGAAACUUAUGAGAAUUAUUAUAAUUUCCAAUUUUGUUAAUUAAUUUCCGUUAAAUUACAAAUGCCUAUAUUUUUUUUAAAUUCGAACAAUUACUCUAAAGAAUCGGUUAUUUAAUAAUAAAAUAAAUAUUAGCAAAAGUAUCAUUUAUUAAACGGUAAUCUAUAUAUAAUAUUUCCAUUAUUAAUAUAACUAGGUUAUUAAAAGUUCCGGUGGUUAUUUCCCUACUUUAAUUUUUAUUCCUAUUAAUUUCGUUUCGCAAACGUUUAAAAAAGCCGUUAUACUUCUUUUUAUUUUUAACGUCAAAUAUUAUUACGGUUCGAUCAAAAUAUAUAUUGCCGAUAUACCGCAACCGGCUAUUAUUUUAACCUAAUUGCAAUUUCGCGCAAUAUUAAUAAACUUCGCCGUUAACAAAUCCAAAUCCAAAUCCACGGAUCCGGUUAUUAUUACGUCUUAUUUAAAAUUGUUUAAUCCGCGAAACCAAACAACUAGACGAAAUUUAUAACGAGGAAAAGAAUUUAACUUAUAAUAUAAACAUAUAUAAACGAAAUAAUUAAUUCUAUUAUUUAAAUUGGUAAUUUUAUUAGCGAUAAAAUCGAUAGUAAUUUUAAUUUGGGUAAUAAUUCCCAAUAAAUAUAUAUUUUUAUAAUAAUUAUUACAAUAUAUUUCUGUUUAUUAACUUUCAUUAAAGUUGAAGAGUUUUGUCCGGCCAUAUUAAUUGAAACAGGGUCAAAAGAUUAACUUUUUAUAGGCGAUAAUGCCAAAUAAAUUCAACGGUUAAUAUUAUAUUUUCCAGCAGAUAUAUUUUUUUCACGGAAAAUGGUAAAUAAAACCCAGUAUUUUUAUUACUGGAAAUUUAUAAGGCACCGCGUAUUUUAUUUUAUUUUUCAUAUUAACCGAAAUAUAAUUACUGCAACUUGAACAAUUAAUAAAAUUUGAAAUAUAAUUAGUUUCGGGGUAUUUGUAUAAAACAAAACCUUUAUUCUUUUAUCCGUUUUAAUAAUAUGAAUUAAAAAAGUAUUUUCGGCCGUUAAUAUCUGGGAUUUCCGUUCCAUUUUUAUUAUGUUAAAUAUCAAUAAUAUUAUUCAAUUUCUGUGCCAAAAACUCACAUUUAUAAAUUAGAAAUGGCGGUUGUUGCAUUUGCGCGUUUUGGAAGUAAUUAUUCCCAUAAUUACCCGGGUAUUAUAUUUUCGUUUAUUUUUUAUGAUACGGGCAUUCUUAUUAUACGCCGCGGUAUGGAUUUUAUAUUAACGUUACCGAGCAGCAUAAUUAUUUAUUUUUGCGAAGAAAUCCUCUUUUGUUAUAUUAUUAUUAGAAAGGUUUAAUUUGGCCAUUGUUCUAAAAACGUAAUAAAAAAUAUAAAGGCAAUUUUAAAAAGUAUUUCGAUUUUUUUUGUAGGUUUAAAUAUAAAUAAUAUUAAUUUCACCCUAUUUAGGGAUAAUUUGGAAGUAAAUAAAAAGGGUUAAAACGUAAAGUAUUAGUAUUUUUAAAUAUGGAGUUUAUUUAAUUUUGGCAAUUUUUAGUAAUAAACUUUUUUUUUAAUUUAUAAUUUACGCCGAAAAUAAUAUUUGGAAUAGCAAUCAAACCGAAUUGGUGAAAUUUCUAAUUUUAAGAAAAAUACUAAUUUUCAAACCAAAUAUCGCCAAAUCCGUCAAAAUUUUAAAAAGUCUUUUUGGAAAAUAAUCCCCGCUUUGAUCGGUAAUUAUAAACGCGUUUAUUUAAUAUAACCGCGACGGACUUUUGAAUUGGGUAUAUUCCAAAAUAUAUAUAAGACCGAAGAUGCCAUUUUCAUCGGAUAAAACCAAAACAAUUUAUUUUAUAUUAAAUAAAUUACGGUUUGUUACCAAAAUUAUAAAGGUUUGCAUGCGAAAAAGAACAAAAUUAGCGGGUUUUUGUUAUAAUCCCGAAUUUAUAAGUCCAAAUGUGAAUUUUCCCAUAAUAAUUAUUAUUACAAUUGUUUAUUUUUUCAAUUAUAAUAAUUAUUACGAUUGUUUAUUUUUUUUUAUAGAAAUUGUGUUACAAUUGUUAAUAUACUGACUAAUUUUUAUAAUAUAAUUGCGGCCAUUUUGGAAAAAAGCCAGUUUCGGUGUUAUUGUUAUUCGGGCUGGCUUAUUUCAAACCGAACGUAAUAAAAUAACAACCGAAUUUACCAAUUUGAAUUUCUUUUUAAAAUUUGCGUUUUAAAUAUUAAUAUUUUUAAUACCGGUUUGAAUUUAUAUUAUAAUUGUUAUAAUCAUAAUAUCAUUUAAUUAAUAUAUAACGUUAGUAAAUAGUUGCGAAUUUAUAAUCGUUUAAUUAUUUCGAAUAAUUAAGAUUUGUUAUUUGGAGAAUUUUCGAAAUGCGAAAUAUUCUAUUCGAUUGGGUAAAAGACCGGAUAUUUUGAAAAAUAAAUGUUAUAAUUUCGAAUUUUUGUAAUUAUAUUUAAUAUAUGAUUCAGAUUGUUGGAAUAUAUUACGCGUAUAUAUUUGUUCGAAAUUAUUAAUUUUUUGCUUAUAAAAUAACUGUUGAUAUAUAAAGCGAUAAUGGUUGUAUUCUUUUCACUGUUUUAUUAUUUCGCGUAAAUAAUCGAACCGCCGCAAUAUAUAAAUAGUUUUUAUUCGGAUAAAACUUAUGAAAUAGGCGAAUUUUACUUUCGUUUCGCAUCGAUAUUUAUAUUAGAUAUUCUAAUUUCUUUCCUUUGAAGGAACGUGGUUAAAAAGACGUCGGUUUUCAUUUUACUAUUAAAGUUAUAUAAAUUAAUAAUUAAUAUUAAAAUCAAAAUAAUUGCCGAAAUAUAAUUACCGAUUAUAUUAAUUAUACGCGUUUGCCGUUUUCGAUUUUAAUAUUAUAGAACCGGGUUUUGUAAUUAAUUUUAUAAAGCAAAUUGAAAAUAAUAACGGGUUUUAUAAAAUAGUCGCAAAUAUGCAAAUAAUUGGGGUUUUUGUAAAAAGCCUUGGUUUUCGAAUAAUCAAACGCCGGUAAACGAACGUUUCUUUAAAAAAAGAUAUUACAGAAAAAUAUAAUAAUUACUUUUUAACUAUAAAUAUUUAAUUUCUUUUUAUUAAAUUUGGGAACGUUUAUAAAAAAUGGACGUUCAACCCAUAUAAAAAACCCUAUAUAUCCAAUUUGUUCGAAAUUAAAAAACGCCGAUGGAGUUUUUUAAUCGUUUACCCAAGCCCCAAUUCGCAAAGAAAAACGUGGCGUUAAUAAUUCCAUUUCGAAAAAGAAAUUGUCCAUUACCAAAUAUAUUUUGUUUUCCUAAUUUACGUUUUAUUUUGCGGUUUUAUUUUGUUGGUUUAUAUGGAUAUAUUAGUAUAACAAUAGUUUUUAUUAGGGUUUUGUUUUAAAUUUACUACUGGGGGCUAUAACAAGUUAAUUAAUCAAAAUUAUAUAAUAUUGGUGGCGGGAAAAUUGGUGGUGGUAACGGGUUGGUUAUAUAUAAAAGUUUAAAUUACAAUAUGGUCUUUUCCUCAUUUUGCGUUUCAUUUUUGCGUUGUUAUUAUUAUUUAUUAGCGGCAAAAGAAAUAACGCAAUAUAUUAUAAUUACGCCCUCUUUUAAAUAAAAAUUUACCCUUUUUUAUUUUUUUCCGGGGUCCAGUUAUAUUUAUUUCAUUGAAAUUCAUACUUUUUCUUCCUUAUACAUCCCGUAAACCAAUCUUUUUAACAUUUAUUAUUCCGUUAAUAUUUAAUUUAUUUGGCCGGUUAUUUUUAAUCCCCAUAUUUCCCCCUUUUUCGAUAUCCGUUUAAUAUAGAACGUUUUCAAAUCGUAUAAUUCUUUAGUUAACGACCUCCAAUUUAUUAUUUCAUAAUCUUUCCUACCCAAUUAUAUAAAGUUAGCACCGUUAAAAUUACACGUAAAUAACAUUUCCCUUUUUACGUUGCCCCAAUUAUUUUGGAACAAUAAAUAUAUAUAAUGCAAAUUUCUUUUUAUUAAUUGAAGCUAUAAUAUAUUUGUUGUUAAUAUAAAAACGGACGUAAAUUUCUAAUCUUUUGCGCAACGUCUUUGCAAAUAAUAUCUCCGGGUUAUAAUUUUUGGUUUUAUACCCGUAAUACUAAAGGGCUAAUUGCGGUAUAAUAACUUCUAAUAUACCGUAAUUUAAUUUAUAAAACGCUUUAAAUAUUAUUUAUAAUAGAUUAAUUAUUUAUAAAUAGCGAGGUUAUAUGCGAAAAGAAUAUUAAUUUUUAAAUUUGUAUUUUAUAAUCCAAUAUCUUUCAAUCCGUCAAUAUAACCGGCAGAUAUAUUAUUACAUACGCGGUUUGUAACAAACCUAUAUAUAUUGGGUAAUAUUUUCGGAAAAAGCCUGCUCCAGCGUAUAUUUCAAAACAUAACCCUUUCCAAAUAGCUAUUUGGAUUAAAAUGGCAAUUAUAAUAUAUAAUAUGCGGGAACAGAAUAUAUUUUGUAAAACCGUAAAACGUGGUAAAAUCUGUUUUUAUUUUUUUGCAAAUAAUAAUAUUUCUCCAGGCCGGCUAUAUUUAUUCAUAUAAUAAAUAUAUAAACUUUGCCAAAAAUAGUUAAUAAAAUUACAUGGGUAUGGAAAAAUCCUAGAAUAGGAAAUAUAUAUUAUUUUUUGUCGUAAAACUAUAACGAUUCGAUAUAGGUUAUUUAAAUAUUCGCUGAUAAAUAAUGUGGUUUUUGGGUGCCUAUAUACGAAAAACAAAAUAAAUAAAUAAUUAAAAUUAGUGGGUUAGAAAUUAAAAGAAUAUUCGAGAAGUAUUUUAUAAAGUUGGAUAACGCCUAUGUAUUUUUUACGUUCUUUAUAAUGGCGGAAAUUUGGAUUAAAUAAAAAUUGGUAUAAUUUAUACGAAAUUAAAUUUUGCGGAAUUGUUUCGGGGGAAUAAGGGUGGUUAGGGAAUAAAUAACGGCAAAUUUGGUCCAAAAUAUAAUAUUUAGCGUAUUGGUAAUAUAUAUCCGGAUAUUGCAGAAACUUCGGCCUUUUUAACAAUUUAUGGUAGAAAAAUAUAAUAAUAUACCAUUGGGAUUGCGAAUAUUUUUCAAAUUUUAGCGCUAAUAUAAAAAGGCACAAAAUUAGGUUUUGUAUUCGGUUAUACUAAUUAUAUUUAAAUUUUUACAUUCUAUAUAUAAAAUUCGAAUUAUCGUAUAUAUAAAUAACGUUAAAUUACGGGCGAUUUGUUUCAGGCUAUUAUAUAUAUAUAUUAUUAUUAAUAUUAUUAUUGUUUCUAUAAUAUAAAAUAUGGAUAAAUAUCCCCUUAAUAGCGUAUAUUAGAAAUGGUAUUAAAUUUUUGGAUUUACCGUAUGCUGGUAUUAUAUAAUAAAUAUAAUCCAAACCCGGAAAAUAUAUUUAUAACGCGUUUUGGAAUUCCGUUUUAUAUAAAGUAGAAAACAAUACGCGUAAUAAAUAAUUGUAUUUUUUUCGGAAAAUAAACGUUUAUAAAAAAAGCAAAUAUAUAUAUAGCGUGAUAAUUCAUCGAUAUUAGGGGCUAUAUAAUUGGAAUGCGGCGUUUAUAUUUUUAUAUACCGCGUUUAAAAUUUUUAAGGACGGGUAAAAUAGACGGUGGUUGUAUAAUUAUUUUAAUUAUAAUAAAUAGAAAUUUGGAUAAAAUUGGAAUUAUUGUUAAAAUAUUUUCCUCGGACGUAUUAAAGAUUUAUUGUAAUUGUUUGGUAUUAUAAAUAUCUUUGGCGAAAUACUUUUCCGUACCCGGAAAUUAAACGAUUGUGGAAUCGAAACAUUUAUAUAUAUAUAUAUAUAUAUAUAAAUAUUAUAUUAAUUCUUGGAAUUCUUGGCGUAAAAAUACUUUGGCGAUAAAAGAAACGGCGUAUUAUUAAAAUAGAAUUUAAUGCUAUUAUUACUCAAACGUUGUCGAAUAUUAAUAUUGCGCAAUAUUCUUUUUAAAAAACGUAUACGUAUUGGAACGGACCGAAUAAUAUUAUUAAUAUUUGGUACCGUUAAUUAAAAAUAUAUAUAUUGGCGGAAAUUGGUCCGACGGGCUCUAUUGUAUUAUAAUUGUAAAAUAUCGCGUAUUAUAAUAAUUUGGACGUCGUUUUGGGUGAUGGAAUCAACGCGCUUCGGUUCGAAAACGCUUACAGGCUGGAAUUAAUUAAAUGAAAAUCGCGUAAAUUCCUUUUUGAAUUUAUUUUUAUAUAAAGAAUUAAAUAAUAAAAAUUGCAAUAGCGUGGAAAAUAAUAACGUAAAAUCCGAAAAUAACAAAGUAAAAUCCAAUAAUAAAUAAAUUUGUAAUGCGAGUUGCGUAAAGGGGAAUAUUGCCGGGGAAACUAAGGUGGUUAUUAGCGAUAAUAAAGUUUCUAUUUUAUUUCUAUACAAAUAGUAGGAUUGGGUUGGUAAUAGUAGGUUUGGUCGGUAUAAAUAUACAAAUGGUAAUUGUUAAAAUUAUUAUAUUUGUAACGCGUUGGGGAAAUUUGCCCGUAAAUGGCGAAAAUUGACAAAAUGUUUUGAAAUUUAAAAAAAACGUGAUUUUUUCCGCCAAUAUAAUCAGUAGAAAAACUAUAUGGUUAGUAAGAUAUAUGGAGCGCUCGGUCUAUUUUGCGAAACAAGGGGGUUUUUGUUUAAAUUUCAAAGCUAAUAUACUUGUAAUUUCAAAGUUUAUCCCUAAAACCCAAAGUUUUAUAAUUAAACGUGGCUUAAUUCGUGGUUUUGUUUGUACCUGUGGGUCCAACCAAAGAAUUUUCUGGUUCAGGUCUGAGGACAAUUUGUCGAUUUUCGCCGUACAUGGAGGUAAAAUCGCGAUUUUCAAAAUUUCACUCCUUUAUAAUAAAUUAAAUACAAAUUGUAAAAAUAUACAAAUUGCACGUGGGGUAUGCGGUCGGUCGUAUAAAUUAGCAACGAUGUAAUUUAUAUUUUUAAUGCGCAAAUUAGCCAAAUUGGGUAUAGGCCUUGUUUCAUUUUUCUAUGGAGGUUGGAUUUUGUUAAAAUCUUGUAUUCUUUAGAUUUUAUUU